GACGAACGCUGGCGGCGUGCUUAACACAUGCAAGUCGAACGGUGAAGCGCCUUCCUUUUUGGUGGGUGUGGAUGAGUGGCGAACGGGUGAGUAACACGUGAGUAACCUGCCCCCUUCUUCUGGAUAACCGCAUGAAAGUGUGGCUAAUACGGGAUAUUCUGGGUCUGUCGCAUGAUGGGUCUGGGAAAGAUAUUGUUUCGGUGGGGGAUGGGCUCGCGGCCUAUCAGCUUGUUGGUGGGGUGAUGGCCUACCAAGGCGGCGACGGGUAGCCGGCCUGAGAGGGUGGACGGUCACACGGGGACUGAGACACGGCCCAGACUCCUACGGGAGGCAGCAGUGGGGAAUAUUGCACAAUGGGCGCAAGCCUGAUGCAGCGACGCCGCGUGAGGGAUGGAGGCCUGCGGGUUGUGAACCUCUUUCGCCAGUGAAGCAGGCCUGCCUCGUUUGUGGGUGGGUUGACGGUAGCUGGAUAAGAAGCGCCGGCUAACUACGUG
This 494-nucleotide ribosomal RNA is filed under the name uncultured bacterium. RNAcentral's name for it is "partial 16S ribosomal RNA". It matches the Rfam family "Bacterial small subunit ribosomal RNA", at positions 28 to 507 of the family's 1533-position model. The record is from RNAcentral.